This 250-nucleotide ribosomal RNA is filed under the name uncultured bacterium. RNAcentral describes it as "partial 16S ribosomal RNA". It matches the Rfam family "Bacterial small subunit ribosomal RNA", at positions 524 to 773 of the family's 1533-position model. The record is from RNAcentral.
UACGAAGGGAGCUAGCGUUGUUCGGAAUUACUGGGCGUAAAGGGCGCGUAGGCGGUUGAAUACGUCUGAUGUGAAAGACCUGGGCUUAACCUGGGAAGUGCAUUGGAUACGGUUUGACUGGAGAGCGAGAGAGGAUUGUGGAAUUGCGCAUGUAGAGGUGAAAUUCGUAGAUAUGCGCAAGAACACCAGAGGCGAAGGCGACAAUCUGGCUCGCAACUGACGCUAAGGCGCGAAAGCGUGGGGAGCAAAC